GAAAAAAAAAAAAGAAAAAGGAAAAGGAACCCAUUUGACGAUACUCACCGACCCUUCUCUGUCUUUCCCUCGCGGAUGCAAUAAUAAAUCGCCAUCGUUAUCCCCUUCCUAUUUUAUUGUUAAGAAAAACAAGUGUAGUUAUGGAAGGGAAUGAAAGCGGCGGUGGUAUUCAAGAGGCUCCCAUAGUUGACGAUCCUAAUCAAUUUGGAGACAACUCCACAGAAGGUGCCGUGUUUGACGCCUCUCAAUAUGCAUUCUUUGGUAAAGAUCUUGUUGAGGAUGUCGAGUUAGGGGGAUUGGAGGAUGAAGUGGAGGACUUGCCUGCAACUGAGUUUGAUGAGGAAGAGUUUCUCUUUGGUAGACAAGAGGUUACACUUUCUUUUCUUUUUGUGUAUUUUCUUUUUUAUUUCCAUUGAUUCAGAAAUUUCACCAAAAAAUAGGUUUAUGUUGUUUAGAGUUAGUUAUGAGUGUAAGUACUCUGGAUUUGUUAAAGGAAUUCAAAAAACAGAGAUACAUCAUACAUUAUUAUGUAGGUACUCAAGUUUGCCAAUUGCUCUAUAUUUGGUUAUUUGUAAGGUUUGUCAAACCUCACAUCUAUUCCUCCUAUGCAAGAAUUUUAAGUACAUGCUCCUGGAAGAAGUUGAUUGUUACAUGUUUUUUUAUACCAUCCUAGUGUAAUUCUAUGAGCUCCUCCUUGUCAGUUUUGCAGGUCAUUUUUUUGAGUUCAGAUAGUAUUGUUCUUUGAUUGUAAGAUCUUGUUUGAUAUGUAACAUUUAUUGUUUAAACUGUAAAUUCUGAAUGAUGAUAUUCAAGCAGUAGGAAUUUCCAGCAAGGCAGCAACUAACUGUUUUCCCCCCCUCUUAUUUGUAGGGUGAGGUUGUAAGAUCUCUUUCUGAUAUUGAUGAUCUUGCUAGUACAUUUUCAAAGUUGAACAAGGUUGUCAGUGGACCAAGGGGAGCAGGAGUAAUUGGUGAUAGGGGAUCCAGAGAAAGUUCAUCUGCUGCUGAAUGGGCCCAGGGGGAGGAUUUUCCCAACUGGUUGGAUCAACAGCAGCUACUUGAUCCUGAAGGUAUCCAGGACGGAAAAAGAUGGUCCUCGCAGCCUUAUGCUUCUUCUGCUCGCCUUUUGGAAUUAAAGCCUUUGUACAGAACAUCUUCAUACCCUGAGCAGCAGCAACAGCACCAUCAACACUUCUCCAGUGAGCCAAUUCUUGUGGCUAAGUCUUCUUACACUUCGUACCCUCCCCCUGGUGGACAAUCUCCACAGGCUUCGCCGAAUCAUAGUCAUCUAAAUAUUCCAUAUCUUGGUGGUGGUCCCCAAAUGGCAAUUUCUUUACCAAACCUCUCCCCCUUUUCUAGUCCUCAGCUUCAGUUGACAGGCUUACAUCAUGGGUCACCACAUUUUGGUGGAAAUUUGUCACAGUUUUCUUCUGGUCCAUCUGCAAAUAGCCGGCUACCUAACCAAUGGGUUAACCAUACAGGUUUGUAUCCGGGAGAUCAUCCCAACCGUUUGUUGCAGCAACAACUAUCUCAUCAAAAUGGUUUAAUGCCUCCACAGUUGAUGCCACAAAUGCAGCCACAGCAGCAUAGACUGCAUCAUCCAAUUCAGCCAUCAUUAGGCCACUUAUCUGGAAUGCAGUCUCAAAUAUUUACACCUCAUCUUUCUUCAUCUGCACCCAUGAUGAGCAAGUUUGAAGCAGUGCUUCUGGGUGAUAUUAGAGAUCAGAGACCAAAAUCAGCUCAGAAAGGUAGACAAAAUUUGCGUUAUUCUCAACAGGGAUUUGAUACUAAUGGCCAGAAGAUUGACAGUGUCUGGUCUCAGUUCAGAUCCAAGUACAUGUCAUCUGAUGAAAUUGAGAGUAUUCUCAGAAUGCAGCUUGCUGCGACACACAGUAAUGACCCAUAUGUGGAUGAUUAUUAUCACCAGGCUUGUCUUGCAAAAAAGUCAGCUGGGGCAAAACUCAAGCAUCAUUUCUGCCCGACUCACUUGAGGGAUCUUCCCCCUCGAGCACGGGCUAACACAGAGCCUCAUGCUUUUCUCCAGGUUGAUGCGCUUGGAAGGACGCCCUUUUCUUCAAUUCGCAGACCUCGUCCACUUCUUGAGGUUGACCCUCCAAACUCAUCUAUUAGUGGUGGAACUGAUCAGAAAGUUUCUGAGAAACCCCUAGAACAGGAGCCAAUGCUUGCAGCUAGAGUGACAAUUGAAGAUGGUCUUUGCCUCCUCCUGGAUGUAGAUGAUAUUGACCGUUUUCUAGAAUUUAAUCAACUUCAAGAUGGAGGAGUCCAAUUGAGACGCAGGAGGCAGGCCUUGUUGGAAGGGCUUGCGGCAUCCCUGCAAUUGGUUGACCCACUCGGAAAGAAUGGACAUACUGUGGGACUUGCUCCAAAAGAUGAUCUUGUGUUCUUACGAUUAGCUUCUCUUCCCAAGGGCCGGAAGCUGCUUGACAGGUACCUUCAGCUUCUUUCUUCCGGUAAUGACCUCAUGCGAAUUGUCUGCAUGGCUAUUUUUCGUCAUCUGAGGUUUUUGUUUGGAGGUAUCCCAUCUGAUCUUGGAGCAGCAGAGACUACAAAUAACCUUGCAAGAGUUGUAUCAUUAUGUGCCCGCCACAUGGAUCUUGGUUCCCUUAGUGCUUGUCUUGCAGCAGUUGUUUGUUCCUCAGAGCAGCCUCCACUUCGCCCCCUUGGAAGCUCUGCUGGAAAUGGGGCUUCUCUCAUUUUAUUGUCUGUUCUUGAGAGGGCAACUGAAUUAUUGAAUGAGCUUCAAGAUGCUAGCAACUAUAAUGUUACAAAUCGGGCACUUUGGAAGGCCUCGUUUGAUGAGUUUUUUGGCCUACUUAUAAAGUACUGCAUAAAUAAAUAUGAUAGUAUUAUGCAGUCUUCUUUACAAGAUCCAGCUGAAGCUAUUAAGAGGGAACUACCGAUGGAGAUCCUUCGAGCCAGUGUUCCCCACACAGAUGACUACCAGAAAAAGAUGAUGUAUGAUCUUUCCCAGUGUUCCUUAGUUAGUCAAGAUGGUUGUCGCAUGAAUUCUGAAUCAGUGUUGAGUUGAUACUGUGUUGCAUGAAAAUAUGAUAGAAAUUGAAAAGCUGUGUCCUGAAUUGCCAAGUUACUGAAAGACUGAAUGUGAAAGAUACUGUUGGACCAGCAAUGUUAUGGGGUAUUUGUUUACUUGCGCCUUUACACUAUGGCUAAUUAGGAAUACGUGGAGUAAAUGAAGCAGAAGCUUUGGAGCAACCUACUGCAAAGUCAUUUUAGUUCUUUCAGAUUUUAGUAUAUUUUAGUCAUUUUCACUCUAUUCUGUGCAACUUUCUUGGCCAAACCUGUAACCGGGCUGUGUUGUAUUGUGGUAGCAAUCUGUUGGGUUUUUCCAUUUCUUUGGGUAUUUUCAUUCCUCUUAUUUUAGGGGCCUAUUUGAUGCUCUGUUGUGGAAUUCUCAAUAUGGAGGCAUAGGGUGUACAGGGUUCGGUACAUAGAUUCCCAACUUCUCCUCUAAUAUUUGUUAUCCAGGAGAUGGUGGAUGUUACGUUCUUGUUUUUCUGUUACGAAGCUUAUGGGCUAUGGCCUAUGUGCCAUAGUACCUUGUUAAUUGGUAAUAAAGCUAUGCUAAUGCUGGUGGUUUGUAGUUUCUCGUAUGGAAUACUGUUGAGUUUGAAUUCUCAAGUAAUCAGCAGUAUGCUGUUCGUGUGCUUUCUGUAGACUUAUAUAACACUCUCAUCUUCGUUCCCUAA
RNAcentral lists this unclassified non-coding RNA (3727 nucleotides) under Hevea brasiliensis (rubber tree). Lineage: Eukaryota; Viridiplantae; Streptophyta; Magnoliopsida; Malpighiales; Euphorbiaceae. The record is from RNAcentral.